AUACGUAGGGGGCUAGCGUUAUCCGGAAUUACUGGGCGUAAAGGGUGCGUAGGUGGUUUCUUAAGUCAGAAGUGAAAGGCUACGGCUCAACCGUAGUAAGCUUUUGAAACUAAGAGACUUGAGUGCAGGAGAGGAGAGUAGAAUUCCUAGUGUAGCGGUGAAAUGCGUAGGUAUUAGGAGGAAUACCAGUUGCGAAGGGGGCUCUCGGGAAUUUAACGGACACUGGGGCACGAAAGCGUGGGGAGAAAACAGGAUGAGAUACCCUGGGAGCCCGCGCCGUAAACGAAGAGUACUAGCUGUCGGGGGUUACCCCCCUCGGUGGCGCAGCUAACGCAUUAAGUACUCCGCCUGGGAAGUACGCUCGCAAGAGUGAAACUCAAAUGAAUUGACGGGG
RNAcentral lists this ribosomal RNA (394 nucleotides) under uncultured bacterium. Its description in RNAcentral is "partial 16S ribosomal RNA". It matches the Rfam family "Bacterial small subunit ribosomal RNA", at positions 523 to 918 of the family's 1533-position model. The record is from RNAcentral.